UUAGCUUCUAUUGCGCUUUCUGAAAUUUAAUCAUUGAUUUGUUGAUUGGUUUAUGUGGUUGUAGUAUGGUUCAUAUGAAGCAUUAUAGCUUUUAGCUUUUUUUUGAUAAAUAUAUAUAUAUAUAUAUAUAUAUUCAAGUCUUAAACCAGUUAUAAAUGCUAAAACAGUUUUUAGCUUUUUUCUGAUAUAUAUAUAUAUAUAUUCAAGUCUUAAACCCAUGUCCAUGACUCAUGACUCAUAGGUUCAUGAGAUGAAGUUAAAACUUGUCUUGGUUGUAUAUGCUUUUUAAUUUUCUAAGUUUCUUGGUUGUAUAUGUGAUAAGAACUGAUUUGCUUCAGAUGCAUGCAUAUAUGUGAAAUUACUAAUAGCAUGAGUGAAGAAUGUUUGGAACUUAAAAUCCUAUAUGUCUGUUUCAAGGUAUUUGGACUAUAUUGAAAAAAGAUGGAAUCGGCGAGGUCGUGCAAAUGAUGAACUGAUUUAGAAUGGCAACACAAGCAUUGGCACAACCUCUUCAGAAUGCAGAUGAGCUCAUUGAUUUAUUUCAAACUUCUUAUAUGAACAGAGCUAAUAUGAACUCAAAA
RNAcentral lists this long non-coding RNA (581 nucleotides) under Trifolium pratense (red clover). RNAcentral's name for it is "long non-coding RNA (TPRA_LNC010469)". Lineage: Eukaryota; Viridiplantae; Streptophyta; Magnoliopsida; Fabales; Fabaceae. The record is from RNAcentral.